CUUUCGCCUCCUCCGCUUUGGGAGCCCCGGGCUACUCUUUCACAGCCCCUGUUGCCCUGUGAUCUGUAGGUCCUUGGGGACGCACAGUUAAGAUGACAGGACAUCCUGGAAGCUGGGAAAUGGUAACUUCUUAGACCAAGUCUAGAAACAGUCUGAGGACAAUAACAAUUCCAUUCUAAAAAGAAUCUCCCAACAUUUCUUCUAUCUCAACCUCAACUGCAUCUGCCUGUGAACUUCCAGCUUACCAAGGCUCUAUAUCUUCUGGCAGUGACAAAGGCUCCUUCCAUGGUUGGUGUGAGUAGGCUUGGACACCUGCAGGGCAGACACCCAGGAAUAAUCAACUGGGCCUUCAGUGGUCCUCUUUUGCAGGGUCAAGAUAUGUAUUCAUUUCCUACCACCGUAGUGGAAGAGAGAUUUUCCCUAUCUUUACAACUGAUAGCAUUUCCAACAGUAAGCUGUGAGAUUCUGCUUGAAAUCACCUCUCAAACAAAUAAAAAACAGACCUGGGAGACAUGCUACACUCAUUCUGCUGAGGAAAUAGGGCAAGAAUAUUUUCUAAGACCCCGAACUCCAGAUAUGCGAUGGGGCA
This 589-nucleotide long non-coding RNA is filed under the name Homo sapiens (human). RNAcentral's name for it is "non-protein coding lnc-SIK1B-190:9". The record is from RNAcentral. Lineage: Eukaryota; Metazoa; Chordata; Mammalia; Primates; Hominidae.